RNAcentral lists this transfer RNA (74 nucleotides) under Planctomycetes bacterium TMED75. Its description in RNAcentral is "tRNA-Arg". It matches the Rfam family "tRNA". Rfam says of the family: Transfer RNA (tRNA) molecules are approximately 80 nucleotides in length. Their secondary structure includes four short double-helical elements and three loops (D, anti-codon, and T loops). Further hydrogen bonds mediate the characteristic L-shaped molecular structure. tRNAs have two regions of fundamental functional importance: the anti-codon, which is responsible for specific mRNA codon recognition, and the 3' end, to which the tRNAs corresponding amino acid is attached (by aminoacyl-tRNA synthetases). tRNAs cope with the degeneracy of the genetic code in two manners: having more than one tRNA (with a specific anti-codon) for a particular amino acid; and 'wobble' base-pairing, i.e. permitting non-standard base-pairing at the 3rd anti-codon position. The record is from RNAcentral. RNAcentral also lists the same sequence under 1 other name. Lineage: Bacteria; Pseudomonadati; Planctomycetota.
GCCCUCGUAGCUCAAUUGGAUAGAGCGCUGCCCUCCGAAGGCAGAGGUUGGUGGUUCGAGUCCACCCGAGGGCG